CUCAGGUGCAAAGCAAGGGGGAGAAAUGGGAGGCAACAAAAAGAAAGAAACAAAAGAGAGAAGUGACGCAGCAGAAUUACUAGGAGGGAAAAAGUGAUUAAAUAAUUCCACUGAGCAGAAGCUGAGGCUCACCAAAGCAGCGUGCCAAGCACUGAAAUGCUUCUUCUGAGGCAUCAGUUUAAAGAAAACCCAGAUUCCCUUGUGCAGAAGGGAGUAGAGCAAACUGCACAUGAUGGAAAGAGAAGAGAUGCUGCAGCUGAGGAGCCAAGAUAUGUGGAUGCCUGUAAACUUCAAGAAACACUUGUCAAGCCCCACUGCAACAUCCAGUCAUCAAUUUAAUUUACAUUGCAUUAUUCAUUAGAUAUUCAGAGAGAGCAACAGAGUGGAAAGAACUGGAAAUCUGUAUUAGACCUAAAUAAACCCAUCUAAAAAUUCACACCCAAGAGAUUUCUCGACUGAGAAAGAAAAAAAAA
Long non-coding RNA from Passer domesticus (house sparrow), 473 nucleotides. RefSeq lists it as uncharacterized. The transcript is spliced from 3 exons. Lineage: Eukaryota; Metazoa; Chordata; Aves; Passeriformes; Passeridae. The record is from RefSeq and is a predicted model, not a curated record.